UUGACCCCCUUCUUCUUCUUCUUUUUUUUUUUUUGGUAAAGAGAAUGGAGAGGAUGGGUUGGCACUAAAUAAAUGCAGAUAAUUAUAAGGUGUGGUUAGAGUUCAAAUUAUAGGAAUGAUCCUUUCUAUUCCAGGAUUAAUAACCAGCCAGAGCUAUUGACUAGGUGAGCGCUGGAAAGGGGAAUCCAGGGUGAUGCUCCCUGACGGGUGUGGAUCAUAGGGUUGACAGUAACUAGGUCAACAGUCAUUAGGUUGACCACUAUUGGUCGCCAGUGAUUAGGUCGACACGGUCAUUAGGUCGACACGGGAAAAGUCGACAUGGGGUUAAAAAAAAAUUGGGUGUCGUUUCCUUCGUAAAGUGACCGGGAUCCCCAAUUAGUGCACCGUAUCCCCUCACAUCGGCGAGCGAACGUUGGGCGAGGUGCCUCACUCCACUGCCGCUGCGCUUGGCAGAGGUUUCUAUUCCCAGUCGUAGUCCACGUGGAUCGUAAAGUAUGAAAAAGUAAAAAAAAAAAAAGUGGAAUACUCAUGUCGACCUUUGUCCAUGUCGACAUAGUGACCAUGUCGAAAAAUAGACCAUGUCGACCUAAUGAGUGUCGACCUAAGUGCUGUCGACCUAAAGACCGGAUGCCCUCCCUGACCAGAUUGGACAUGACCCCCCAAAAUCUAAAUAAAAUGUUUGAUUUUGAAGUGAAACUUAAACUAGUAUACUAGGCAAUUUGUAUUCACAAAGAAUGAGCCCCUGGAGGAGUGUGUGCGCAAGUUAUAUGACGCACAUAUUACGCCGCGGUUUAAUAUUUCAGUCAUUCACUUCAGUCCCUGCACCAGUGGAGCUUACAAUCUAUAUUCCCUAAUAUAUGGACACGCACAAGGGUUUUUUAUUUGUCAGAAGCCAAUUAACCGACAAGUAUUUUUAUUUUUUAGGUGUGUAGGAGGAAACCGGAGAACACGUAGAAACCCAUGCAAAUAUGAAUGCUUUCUGGAUAACCAUACAAUGAAUCAGGAGCUUGAUCACGGUAUACUUCUUAGUAAUGGCAUAUCUUCCUGAAAGUUCCUCUCACGUGCUUAGUCAUUGACUUGAAACAAUAAUAAACCUGUGAGCCACAUGUUAGGCUAGAGCAGUUUUUCCUCUGUGGUUGUUUACAUAUCACAUUUUUCCAAACAUAGAUCAGAGCAGAUAGAACAAAGGUUUUCUAUUAUUUUCUUUGCUUUGGGAAAACAUAAGGAACGACAUCACACGUUUUAGAAGUACACAACUCCCAGUAAAAAUGUAAAUUUGGUUGAAGUUCUUAAAAAACAAACAAAAAAAUAAAUAAAUUGAACAAC
Long non-coding RNA from Pseudophryne corroboree (corroboree frog), 1326 nucleotides. RefSeq lists it as uncharacterized. The record is from RefSeq and is a predicted model, not a curated record. The transcript has 2 exons. Lineage: Eukaryota; Metazoa; Chordata; Amphibia; Anura; Myobatrachidae.